Molecule: long non-coding RNA, 5090 nt
Organism: Tachysurus fulvidraco (yellow catfish)
Lineage: Eukaryota; Metazoa; Chordata; Actinopteri; Siluriformes; Bagridae
Exons: 3
Source: RefSeq, a predicted model, not a curated record
CUUAGUCGAGCCUGACACUUAUCAGCCAAUCACAACAAGAGGCUACACAACAGCCAAUCAGAAAACAGCACUAUUGUAUCUGGGUAAGAUUUAACACAACAACCAAUGGGAAAAAAGCAGGUCCUGGAACUGUUCAUCAUCGUCCUCGUUCCCCCACAGAGAAAAGCCCUGGAGCUGCGAGCAUCACUUUGAGCACAGAAAGAGAAAUAAAAAGCUCGCUUGUUACAUGUGAGGUAUUUAAAACAUUAAAACCAAAGUCUCUGGACAUGUUUCAGCUUCCAUGAACAUUUGCUCCUGGAGUCUCAGCUCUUGGUCUAAUCAUCUAGCAAUUACACUUCUGCAGCAUCUCCAUCAUUUCACACCCGCUAAUGCACACGGACUCCGCUUUAAUGCAUCUUUCCGGCCGAGAGCCGAACGUCUAACUGUGGAAAUCGUAAAAAGAGAUCUUUUUUCUCUUAAGCGCUACGCCUUUUGAACAUUAGCAGAAAUGGGUAUAAUUUAAUCUGAGAAUCACAGUGAGAGCCUCAGAGAGGGAGGAAGAAGAGGAGGAGGAGGAGGAGGAAUUUAUAAAAGCAGACUUAUGGAGGUAAGAGUCAGCGAGAGAACGACCGAAUCAAACGGACACGAAGAGCAAAAAGCUGCAGCUGAAAGAUGAAGAGAAGGAAACGUGGACGUGAGACGUCCUGCAGCUCUUCUGUCCUACAGAGGUCUGAGAACUUACAGCUUAAACUCUGACUGUACAAAGUGCUGACGCUGGAGACUCCUUCUAUGUGUAAAGGUUAACCGAAUCGAACACUUCAAUAAAGUCUAUAAUGCAGCACGAUUUCAACACAAUUUCACUUAUUUCUGAAAUCCGUACCUUGGCAAUGAGAAUGGUUUUAAUCCCAUCAGAGGAAAGCAGCUGACAAAUUUCAGCAUUUAUACCACUGACGCACUCCAGCACUCUGUACACCAGGUUCUUCCAGAAAUUAUACCAGCCCUGAUCGUCUUCCGUGCGAUGAAGGUUUUGGACCACUGAGAUGAGGCCGACCCAGCGAACCCUGAGGCAUCCAGAGAUCUAGCAGCUACACUUAGAUUCUGCUAUACUACAAAGAUGUGAGCUCCAUGUGGUGUUCUACAUCACUACAACAUUUAUCAGACUGUAUAUAUAUAUAAUCACACCCCCAGUGUCACCCAGAUGAGGAUGAGGUUCCUCUCAAGGUUCCUUCCUUUACAGUCACCUGAGUCACCUCAGACUUGUUCAUUGGGGAUAAAUACAAACACAUUGUGAACUAAAUCUACCCACACGUCUCCUUUACCACAUUUUUUAUGAUGGUCUUAAAUGUAUUUAUCGAUAAACGCGUUUCUAGUUUAAGAUCUUUUUGCCCAUGGUGCAUAGUAUGGAAAUGCAGUUUUCCCCAAAUCUGCCCAAACCCUGGGUACAUUAAGAAGCAACCACUUGGAGGCGCUUUAGCUGAUAACUAGCAACAUUGGGACAGAGGACGGUACAGAGCUAAGCUGGACGUUUACCUAGCAUGGCUUUAUAUAUAAAAAUAUACCAAUGCUGUUUUCUGCGAGUGGUCAGUGAUGUCCAACCCACCGGAUCAUAAAGAAUACAAUGGUGAAUAAGGGACUUUACAUUUGUAAUAAAGCGUAGAGACGCAUGAUACGCCGGAUCAAGGCUCCGUAAGAUAGAGGAGGCCGCAUGCAUAUAUAACAUGUCACCAUAAUCAAUCACAGACAAGAUGGCAGCUUCCACAAGUUUUUUUUUUUUGGCAUUAAAUGUAAAACUAGAUUUAUUUCUAAAAUAAAAGCCAAUCUUUAGCAAUAUGUACAUUAAAUAAAAGUUUCUCGUCUAUCCAUAUACCCGAGUACUUGUAUGUGGGUACACUUUCAAUGGAAUUACCAUCAGACGUAAAAGUGCUAAGAUCAUCAAGCAGCUGUGUGAUUUAUAAAAAUAGAGAACAGAAUAGGUCCCAAAAUGGACCCCUGAGGGACCCCUUUAGAUAUCCCAAGAAACUCAGAUUUGUGGCCCUCUGCAUAGACACAAUGAAUUCUAUCUACAGUACAAAAUAGUUUCUGAACCACUUAACAGCAUUGGGACUGAAACCCACAUCCCUAAGUUUGUUUAGCAACAAUUCAUGAUCUACGGACUCAAACGCCUCGGAUCGAUCUAUAAAUAAAGCAGCGCAAUGUAGUUUUCUAUCCAAGGCACAAAUAAGAUCAUUUAUCACCACCAUAGCAGCAGUAACAGUACUGUGGCCAGAUCUAAAACCAGACUGAAAAUUGUUUACAAUAUUAUUAUCAAGUAAGAACUGUUUAACCUGUAAAUUUACCUGCGAUUCAAAGAUCUUAGCCAGGAUUGAGAGUUUGGAAAUCGGACGGUAAUUAUUUAGCUCUGAGGGGUCCCCACCUUUAAAUAAGGGCAGAACAUAAGCAGCUUCCCAGAUUUGGGGUAUUGAACUGGACAUAAGACUCAAAUUAAAAAUGUGAGUAAUGGCUCAGCAAUAACAUCCACCACCACCUUCAGGAGAUAAGGAUCCAGACUGUCAGGACCUGCAGAUUUUUUGUGGUCAAUGCCUUUCAGAGCUUCACUAACUUGUGCAACUCCAGACAAACAAAUCCAGAUUACUAUCAGUUGCAGUGGUGGCAGAACAUGGGGCAGGUGCAUUUACAUUUCAACAGUCAAAUGAAGACCCGGUACAGAUAAAGUGUUUAUUUAUCUGACUGAUCAUAGCAGCUUUAUCCUUUAUUUCAUCUGAGCCAACCAGAAGGUGUUCAGGGAGGCUUGAAGCAACAUGUGGACCUGACAUAGAUUUAAUUACUUUCCAAAAUUUGGAGGGGUUCUUUAGAUUCUGUGUAACUGUCUUCAGAUAAAACUCUGAUUUGGAAUUUCUUAUCAUCAAGGUGCACUUGUUCCUUAGGGUUCUAAACGUAGUCCAGUCAGCAGAGGAGUUAGGAAAUCUAGCUUGGGCCCAUGAUUUAUUUCUUAAAUGAAUUAGCUCUGAGAGACUGUCUGAGAACCAGGGAUUUUCCCUCCCACUGAUCCGAAGCUUUUUAAUGGGAACAUGUUUAUUUGAGAUAGACAGAAAAAUUGAGUGAACAUAUUCCCAUGCCAAGUCAACAUCCGGAAUCAGAGUUACUCUGUUAAGAUCACUAUAAUAUAAAUCAUGCAGGAAAGUCUGCUUUUGAAAACCUUUAAAAUAUCUUUUAAAAAUGAGCCGAGGUUUUAACUUGGGAAUUUUUGUAUUCCUGACACAAGCAAUUGCACAAUGAUCGCUAACAUCAUUGCAAAAUAUGCCAGUUGAAGUGUAUUUGUUCUAUGUUUAUGUUCUAUAAAGCUGCUUUGAGACAAUGUCAAUUGUAAAAAGCGCUAUACAAAUAAACUUGAAUUGAAUUGAAUUGAAGUUCUGAAGCAUUAUGAUGGGGAUUUUAGAAGGGAAUAGGACUGGGUUACAAUUGUGUAACAGUGACGUGACAUACGGCUAAGUACGAUGACCCAGACUCAGAAUUCGUUCUCUGCAUUUAACCCAUCCAAAGUGCACACACACAGCAGUGAACACACACACACCGUGAACACACACCCAGAGCAGUGGGCAACCAGAGGGCACCUCGGUCGUGGCCGGCCCGAGACUCGAACCCACAACCUUAGGGUUACGAGUCAGACUCUCUAACCAUUAGGCCACGAGUAGAAUUGUGUAAUACAUUUGAAUAGAAGUUGAUUAAAGCCUAAAUGAAUAAUUAACAAUUAAUUUAAUAAUAAGCUACUGUUAGCUUAAUAAAGUAGCAUAGACUAGAAGAUGAAUAGAAUAGCAGAAAAUAGAAUAGCAUAGAGUGUAGAAAAGAACAAAAUAAAAAGAAAUCGAAUGGAACAGUGUGACAAAAGAGAGAUGAGGAAGAUGAUGAAGAAGAAAAGGAAGAAUAGAAUAGAACGGUGUAAUAAUGUUCAAAAAGCCUUUUAAAAGAAUAGAAUCGUGUAAGGACAGACAAUCGGUGCACUAGAAUUAUGCAUUAAUACUGUUAUAUAGAAUAGAGAACUGUAUCAUCCUAAUUUCGAGGAGAAGAUGACAGAAUUGAAUAAUAUUAGCUUACAGAAUUGAAUAUAACAGAUUAGAAAUGUGUUUAAAAUAAUAGUGUAAUAAUAACAGAAGAGAGUAGAAUUGUCUGCUAAUCAUGGUGAAGUAAAAGUCAUAAAACAGAAUAAUAUACUAGAAAUAUAUUUUUAAUUGUAGAUUAUUUUCAUUGUAGAUUCUUGUAAGAUGCUGGAAUUUAUUUGGAGUUUUUUUUUUAUUAAAUUUAAGUUAAUUCUGGUUCUGUAUAGAAUUAAAGCACACAGUAAAUUCUACUCAUCUCCACGCAGUCGCAGUUUCACUGUGCAGAUUUCUAAAGCGGAUAAAAAAUCCAGCUUCGACCAUCAUCAAAAGACCUAUUAGCACUAAAAAGAUGCACAAAACACUGCGACUUCAUUCCGACCCUCAUCUCCAUGACGACGCCGGCCCUUCCCACCCAGCGCUCACGAUUAGAAGUGAACGAUUUCACUUCUGUGAUCUUCAGCAUCUGCGUGAAAUUAAAGAGCUGCUCGUUUAGAUAUACGGGAGAAUUUCAGAGCAGCGGGAGGAAAGACGGCGGUGGUGAUGGUGAGAGUGUGACUCAACUACGGCUCAGGAAAAAGAAACAUUUAUGAUCAUCGUACAGGAUUUUAAUACACUCACUCACUCCCACACACACACACACACACACACACACACACACACACACACACACACACACACACACACACACACACAAUACACACAAAAAAAUACACUUUGAUCUUCUCUAUAGUAACACAUGACUGUGAGCAAUAAGGUGGAACAUCACUGUCUCUAACAGCAGAACACACAGCAGAUUACAGAAGAGCUGAACACUUUACUCACACACACACACACACACACACACACACACACACACACACACACACACAAACACACACACAAGCAACAGAUGUGUAUAACAACAUUUUACUAAUUGUUUAAUUACAAACACGCAAUACCCCAAUUAAACAUUAUAUAACAAAUUAGAGACAUAGUUAGAGACAUAGAUUGAUAAUGUGUGUGUGUGUGUGUGUGUGU